This 309-nucleotide ribosomal RNA is filed under the name uncultured archaeon. RNAcentral describes it as "bacterial SSU rRNA". It matches the Rfam family "Archaeal small subunit ribosomal RNA", at positions 526 to 834 of the family's 1478-position model. The record is from RNAcentral.
UGGCCCCGCAAGUCCGUCGGGAAAUCCAGUAGCUCAACUACUGGGCGGCCGGCGGAAACUACGGGGCUUGGGACCGGAAGGCUCGAGGGGUACGUUCGGGGUAGGAGUGAAAUCCCGUAAUCCCGAACGGACCACCGAUGGCGAAAGCACCUCGAGAAGACGGCUCCGACAGUGAGGGACGAAAGCUAGGGUCUCGAACCGGAUUAGAUACCCGGGUAGUCCUAGCCGUAAACGAUGCUCGCUAGGUGUGGCAGUGGCUACGAGCCACUGCUGUGCCGUAGGGAAGCCGAGAAGCGAGCCGCCUGGGAA